This 492-nucleotide ribosomal RNA is filed under the name uncultured bacterium. RNAcentral's name for it is "partial 16S ribosomal RNA". It matches the Rfam family "Bacterial small subunit ribosomal RNA", at positions 29 to 507 of the family's 1533-position model. The record is from RNAcentral.
AUUGAACGCUGGCGGCAUGCUUAACACAUGCCAGUCGAACGGCAACAGCAUUUCAGUGUCUGACGACGGGCGGACGGGUGAGGAAGACAUCGGAACGUACCGGGUAGUGGUGUAUAACUACUCGUAAGGGAAGCUAACAUCGCAUGAGAUCGCAGAAGGAAAACAGGGGACCUCCGGGGCUCUUCCUACCUGGGCGGCUGGUAGUAGAUGAUGUCGGAUUAGGUAGUUGGGGGGGUAAAGGCCUACCAAGGCGACGAUCUGUAGCUGGUCUGAGAGGAGGACCAGCCACACUGGAACUGAGACACGGCCCAGACUCCUACGGGAGGCAGCAGUGGGGAAUUUUGGACAAUGGGCGCAAGCCUGAUCCAGCAAUGCCGCGUGGGUGAAGAAGGCCUUCGGGUUGUAAAGUGCUUUUGUUGGGAAAGAAAAGCAGUCGGCUAAUACAGGGCGGUCAUGACGGUACCGAAAGAAUAAGCACCGGCUAACUACGUG